This 553-nucleotide ribosomal RNA is filed under the name uncultured bacterium. RNAcentral's name for it is "bacterial SSU rRNA". It matches the Rfam family "Bacterial small subunit ribosomal RNA", at positions 339 to 906 of the family's 1533-position model. The record is from RNAcentral.
CUACGGGAGGCAGCAGUGGGGAAUUUUCCGCAAUGGGCGAAAGCCUGACGGAGCAAUACCGCGUGAGGGAAGACGGCCUAUGGGUUGUAAACCUCUUUUUUCAGGGAGGAAUUUUGACGUGUACCUGAAGAAUAAGCAUCGGCUAACUCCGUGCCAGCAGCCGCGGUAAGACGGAGGAUGCAAGUGUUAUCCGGAAUCACUGGGCGUAAAGCGUCUGUAGGUGGUUAAGCAAGUCAACUGUUAAAUCUUGAGGCUCAACUUCAAAAUCGCAGUCGAAACUGUUUGACUAGAGUAUAGUAGGGGUAAAGGGAAUUUCCAGUGGAGCGGUGAAAUGCGUAGAUAUUGGAAAGAACACCGAUGGCGAAGGCACUUUACUGGGCUAUUACUGACACUCAGAGACGAAAGCUAGGGUAGCAAAUGGGAUUAGAUACCCCAGUAGUCCUAGCCGUAAACAAUGGAUACUAGAUGUUGAACAGAUCGACCUGUGCAGUAUCAAAGCUAACGUGUUAAGUAUCCCGCCUGGGAAGUAUGCUCGCAAGAGUGAAACUCAAAG